Molecule: ribosomal RNA, 424 nt
Filed under: uncultured bacterium
Lineage: Bacteria
Description: partial 16S ribosomal RNA
Rfam family: Bacterial small subunit ribosomal RNA
Source: RNAcentral
AAUUUUGGACAAUGGGGGAAACCCUGAUACAGCCAUCCCGCGUGUAUGAUGAAGGCCUUCGGGUUGUAAAGUACUUUUGGCAGAGAAGAAAAGGUAUCUCCUAAUACGAGAUACUGCUGACGGUUUCUGCAUAAUAAGCAGUGUCUAAUUAAGUUCCAUCAGACGCGGUAAUACGUAGGGUUCAAGCGUUAAUCGGAAUUACUGGGCGAAAGGCGUGUGUAGGCGGUUCGGAAAGAAAGAUGUGAAAUCCCAGGGCUCAACCUUGGAACUGCAUUUUUAACUGCCGAGCUAGAGUAUGUCAGAGGGGGGUAGAAUUCCACGUGUAGCAGUGAAAUGCGUAGAUAUGUGGAGGAAUACCGAUGGCGAAGGCAGCCCCCUGGGAUAAUACUGACGCUCAGACACGAAAGCGUGGGGAGCAAACAGG